RNAcentral lists this ribosomal RNA (254 nucleotides) under uncultured bacterium. Its description in RNAcentral is "partial 16S ribosomal RNA". It matches the Rfam family "Bacterial small subunit ribosomal RNA", at positions 524 to 776 of the family's 1533-position model. The record is from RNAcentral.
UACGUAGGGUGCGAGCGUUAAUCGGAAUUACUGGGCGUAAAGCGUGCGCAGGCGGUUAUUUAAGUCAGGUGUGAAAGCCCUGGGCUUAACCUAGGAAUUGCGCUUGAGACUGGAUAGCUUGGAGUGCGGCAGAGGGAGGUGGAAUUCCACGUGUAGCAGUGAAAUGCGUAGAGAUGUGGAGGAACACCGAUGGCGAAGGCAGCCCCCUGGGUCAAGACUGACGCUCAUGCACGAAAGCGUGGGGAGCAAACAGG